GACGAACGCUGGCGGCGUGCUUAACACAUGCAAGUCUAGCGGAAAGGCCACUUCGGUGGUACUCGAGCGGCGAACGGGUGAGUAACACGUGAGUAAUCUGCCCCUCACUUUGGGAUAGCCACCGGAAACGGUGAUUAAUACCGGAUAUGACCAUAUGUCGCAUGGCGUGUGGUGGAAAGUUUUUCGGUGAGGGAUGUGCUCGCGGCCUAUCAGCUUGAUGGUGAGGUAAUGGCUCACCAUGGCUUCGACGGGUAGCCGGCCUGAGAGGGUGACCGGUCACACUGGGACUGAGACACGGCCCAGACUCCUACGGGAGGCAGCAGUGGGGAAUAUUGGACAAUGGGCGGAAGCCUGAUCCAGCAACGCCGCGUGAGGGAUGACGGCCUUCGGGUUGUAAACCUCUUUCAGUACCGACGAAGCGCAAGUGACGGUAGGUACAGAAGAAGCACCGGCCAACUACGUG
Molecule: ribosomal RNA, 463 nt
Filed under: uncultured bacterium
Lineage: Bacteria
Description: partial 16S ribosomal RNA
Rfam family: Bacterial small subunit ribosomal RNA
Source: RNAcentral